RNAcentral lists this transfer RNA (89 nucleotides) under Synechococcus phage S-PM2. It matches the Rfam family "tRNA". From Rfam's summary of the family: Transfer RNA (tRNA) molecules are approximately 80 nucleotides in length. Their secondary structure includes four short double-helical elements and three loops (D, anti-codon, and T loops). Further hydrogen bonds mediate the characteristic L-shaped molecular structure. tRNAs have two regions of fundamental functional importance: the anti-codon, which is responsible for specific mRNA codon recognition, and the 3' end, to which the tRNAs corresponding amino acid is attached (by aminoacyl-tRNA synthetases). tRNAs cope with the degeneracy of the genetic code in two manners: having more than one tRNA (with a specific anti-codon) for a particular amino acid; and 'wobble' base-pairing, i.e. permitting non-standard base-pairing at the 3rd anti-codon position. RNAcentral also lists the same sequence under 1 other name. Lineage: Duplodnaviria; Heunggongvirae; Uroviricota; Caudoviricetes; Pantevenvirales; Kyanoviridae. The record is from Rfam by way of RNAcentral.
GGAAGUGUGGCAGAGAGGUCUAAUGCAGUGGAUUGCUAAUCCGCCGAUGUCUUUAUAGGCAUCCGUUGGUUCGAAUCCAACCACUUCCG